Molecule: ribosomal RNA, 768 nt
Filed under: uncultured fungus
Lineage: Eukaryota; Fungi
Description: SSU rRNA
Rfam family: Eukaryotic small subunit ribosomal RNA
Source: RNAcentral
GUGCCAGCCGCCGCGUAAUUCCAGCUCCAAUAGCGUAUAUUAAAGUUGUUGUGGUUAAAAAGCUCGUAGUUGAACCUUGGGCCUGGCUGGCCGGUCCGCCUCACCGCGUGCACUGGUCCGGCCGGGCCUUUCCCUCUGUGGAACCCCAUACCCUUCACUGGGCGCGGCGGGGAAACAGGACAUUUACUUUGAAAAAAUUAGAGUGCUCCAGGCAGGCCUAUGCCCGAAUACAUUAGCAUGGAAUAAUAAAAUAGGACGCGCGGUUCUAUUUUGUUGGUUUAUAGGACCGCCGUAAUGAUUAAUAGGGACAGUCGGGGGCAUCAGUAUUCAACUGUCAGAGGUGAAAUUCUUGGAUCAGUUGAAGACUAACUACUGCGAAAGCAUUUGCCAAGGAUGUUUUCAUUAAUCAGGAACGAAAGUUAGGGGAUCGAAGACGAUCAGAUACCGUCGUAGUCUUAACCAUAAACUAUGCCGACUAGGGAUCGGACGGUGUUAUUCAUGACCCGUUCGGCACCUUACGAGAAAUCAAAGUGCUUGGGCUCCAGGGGGAGUAUGGUCGCAAGGCUGAAACUUAAAGAAAUUGACGGAAGGGCACCACCAGGGGUGGAGCCUGCGGCUUAAUUUGACUCAACACGGGGAAACUCACCAGGUCCAGACACAAUAAGGGAUUGACAGAUUGAGAGCUCUUUUCUUGAUUUUGUGGGUGGUGGUGCAUGGCUCGUUCUUAGUUUGGUGGGGUGACUUGUUCUGCUUAAUUGCGAUAACGCA